Molecule: ribosomal RNA, 589 nt
Filed under: Pantoea vagans
Lineage: Bacteria; Pseudomonadati; Pseudomonadota; Gammaproteobacteria; Enterobacterales; Erwiniaceae
Description: bacterial SSU rRNA
Rfam family: Bacterial small subunit ribosomal RNA
Source: RNAcentral
CACAUGCAAGUCGGACGGUAGCACAGAGAGCUUGCUCUUGGGUGACGAGUGGCGGACGGGUGAGUAAUGUCUGGGGAUCUGCCCGAUAGAGGGGGAUAACCACUGGAAACGGUGGCUAAUACCGCAUAACGUCGCAAGACCAAAGAGGGGGACCUUCGGGCCUCUCACUAUCGGAUGAACCCAGAUGGGAUUAGCUAGUAGGCGGGGUAAUGGCCCACCUAGGCGACGAUCCCUAGCUGGUCUGAGAGGAUGACCAGCCACACUGGAACUGAGACACGGUCCAGACUCCUACGGGAGGCAGCAGUGGGGAAUAUUGCACAAUGGGCGCAAGCCUGAUGCAGCCAUGCCGCGUGUAUGAAGAAGGCCUUCGGGUUGUAAAGUACUUUCAGCGGGGAGGAAGGCGAUGCGGUUAAUAACCGCGUCGAUUGACGUUACCCGCAGAAGAAGCACCGGCUAACUCCGUGCCAGCAGCCGCGGUAAUACGGAGGGUGCAAGCGUUAAUCGGAAUUACUGGGCGUAAAGCGCACGCAGGCGGUCUGUUAAGUCAGAUGUGAAAUCCCCGGGCUUAACCUGGGAACUGCAUUGAAAC